GACGAACGCUGGCGGCGUGCUUAACACAUGCAAGUCGAACGCGCCUGUCCUCUGGGUUUCUGGGGGGUGGGUGAGUGGCGAACGGGUGAGUAACACGUGAGUAACCUGCCCCCUUCUUCGGGAUAACGGUCUGAAAGGGCUGCUAAUACCGGGUAUUCACUGGUCUCCGCAUGGGGUCUGGUGGAAAGGUUUUUUUCUGUUGGGGGAUGGGCUCGCGGCCUACCAGCUUGUUGGUGGGGUGAUGGCCCAGCAAGGCUUUGACGGGUAGCCGGCCUGAGAGGGUGCCCGGUAAGAUUGCGGCUGAGAUACGGCCCAGACUACUGCGGGAGGCAGUAGUGGGGAAUAUUGCACAAUGGGCGGAAGAAUGAUGCAGAGACGCCGCGUGAGGGAUGGAGGCCUUGGGGUUGGGAAUCUCUUUCGAACGUGGUUAAGCCGCGAAGUGGGUCGUGGUGAGGGUAGUGGGUAAAGAAGCGCCGGCUAACUACGUG
Molecule: ribosomal RNA, 488 nt
Filed under: uncultured bacterium
Lineage: Bacteria
Description: partial 16S ribosomal RNA
Rfam family: Bacterial small subunit ribosomal RNA
Source: RNAcentral